UAUCGCUGUUCCCUCUCUCCUCUAUCGCUCCGUCUCUCUCCUUGUGCGCGAGCCCGCCGCCUCCGCUAAGGAAAGACAAGUACAGCUAAGAGUUUAGGGGGUGGGCACCUCGAACUAAGGAAAGGUUAAAGAGAAACUAAGAGCGGAGGACGCCAACCAACCAGAGAGUAAAAGAGAGCGCUCGCGUACAAAAAACAAGUAAAGAGCCACAUAUCCAAGGUCUAGAUCCUCCAGUCAAACGACUACACUAAAACAAUCCCAAGCACCAUCCACACACAACACAAGGUCCCGGCACCACGACAUCUAAGUACCAUCCACGAACAUCAAAAACACCAAGCAAUACCAAGUGCAACAGGGCGGUAUCAAGGAACAGACGAAGCACAACAGGCGGUAACUCAAGAAGGAGACGAGCACCAUCCAAGUACGCACUGAUCAAACACUAAGUCUAUCUACAUACCUAGUCAAAACACAACCAUCCACCAAGCGAACUAACGACCGUCUACCCACAAACGGGAGGAGACCGGCACAACCAAGAUCCCAGACAUAUACAAACCUAAAGCCAUCCAAAUAUACAUCAAUCCAAGGAGGAUACGGGAGACAACGUCCAGGGGAAAACAGGACGUUCACGUAUACAAGGAGCAUCAAAUCUACAUGAAUCCAAGGAGGAUCAACGGACCCCCACAAAAAAUACACGAAGACGUUACAUAAGAAAAAUUCGAAAGACGUUACGGGGACCAUUGACACAUAGACUACGUCCAAACAUAGAAAACCAACACGGCUCACAACUACACAUUGGGAUCUCAAAGUCACCGUAUGUAAUCUUAAUGACACAUAAAAAACGGACUCAGAAUGAACGAUUAGGGGAGUCAAAGUCACAUUAUAUGGUACGUUUAACGUAACAUCAAUGAUACAUUAAGUCGGGUAUGUCGGGUAUCAAAGUUACAAAAAAGUGAGAUCUUAAUGAUCUUAAAAUAACACAUAAAAAACACAGUCUGAAUGACACAUUAGGGGUAUCAAAGUUACAUUAUAUGAUACGUUUAACGUGCCAUCAAUGAUACAUUAAGUCGGAUAUCAAAGUCACAAAGAGAGAGAGAUCUUAAUCAUCAAAAAUGACACAUAAAACGGUGUAAAAAUGACACAUUAAGUAGUACAUCAAAGUCACAUUAAAUGACACAUUGAGUAGUACAUCAAAGUCACAUUAAAAUGAUAUCUUAAUGAUACAUAGAAACAUCAACAGUCACAUUAAGUUAUAUCUUAAUGACACAUUAAGUAGGACGUCAAAGUCACAUUAAGUUAUAUCUUAAAUGACACAUUAAAGUAGUACGUCAAAGUCACAUUAAGUUAUAUCUUAAAUGACACAUUAAGUAGAAACAUCAACAUUAAGUAGAAACAUCAACAGCCCACAUUAAGUUAUAUCUGAAUGACACAUUGAGUACAACAUCACAAUGACACAUUAAACGGGUUCUUAAUGACACAUUAAGUAGAACAUCGAAGUUACCUUAAUUAGACAUAAAUAAAAAGGGUUAUUGAUAACACAUUAAGUAGUACAUCAAAGUUACAUUAAACAGGAAUCAAGGUCACAUUAAAUGUGCUCAAUGACACAUAAAAAUUACAAAAAUCGAUACAUUAGGGACUGUGUAAAUAUACCGGGGACUAAGAUCACAUUAAAGGGGAUCUUAAUACUACCAAAUGUAACAUAGAUGUCACAUAUAAGGGGGUAAAAACGUCACAUAAAUGUAACUAAAGUCAAUACAUUAAGGACUUAAAACCGAAGAAAAAUAAAUAAAAGUAAUUAAGGGGUGAACAACGUGAAGUAUCAAUAAGACCAGUGGAGUAACAAGGAGAAAAACGAACAACAAGAACUACGACGAUCACGACGGUGACUCUUAGGUCGCUAAAACCUCAUCUUCAACUAUAUAAGGACCGGAAGAAGGAAACAAAACUUAACGUACGGAUCCACACCGAACUUCAACGACGAUCACAAGUAGUUUAACGGAAGACUACGUCGGAGAACAAGUAAAACGUCCUUAGAAAGUCACAGAAGAAGCAGUUCCAUAAGCAACAGUAGAACAAGUAAAGUACCACGGUUUGUCCAGACGUACGGUGCCCAAUACGAGAAGACGUGGAAGAAGUAAAGCACAUCGAAGCAAAAGGUCAAGAAGUUUACAGACGUGUUCUUAUGAUUUCACGAGCUAGACGAAUCGUCUGAUAGUUCGUCUACUCGCCGAAGUCUCUUAUGGGGGAACACCAGUGUGGAAGGUAUAGCUAACGUAACUGGUGACCAAAAGAUUCUUGUGAUGAACGGGAGAAACGGCUCAUAGCGAGGACUGACGGGGGUCUCGACGGUCGCAGCGAGGUUGGCUAGACCUUUGUGUUCGGUAGCUUCUCCUGACGAGAAGUUUACGCGUCGUAGUACACCCGGAAUCUCUACUCGUGUGCGCUGGCCUCCUAGUCCGUCACCUGCCGUCCUAGUCACUGCCGGGUAGUGUCGUCUGAUUGCACCUUCGUAGUCAACAACAUCAGUAGCGCUGAGUUUGUCGUCCCAGAGGUUCAAGAACGGUGAACAGACUGCACAUU
RNAcentral lists this ribosomal RNA (2577 nucleotides) under Triticum aestivum (bread wheat). RNAcentral describes it as "partial small subunit ribosomal RNA". Lineage: Eukaryota; Viridiplantae; Streptophyta; Magnoliopsida; Poales; Poaceae. The record is from RNAcentral.